Molecule: long non-coding RNA, 1074 nt
Filed under: Equus caballus (horse)
Lineage: Eukaryota; Metazoa; Chordata; Mammalia; Perissodactyla; Equidae
Description: lncRNA (ENSECAG00000049897.1)
Source: RNAcentral
UCCUAUAUUUAGCCACAUUGUGUAAUAUGUGACAAUAAUACUUUGUACUCAGGGUACACCUUUUAUCAGAGGAACUCCAUGCAGUCUGCAAACAUCCCCAGCACAAUACCCCUGGAGUGGAAGGAACCUGCCAAGUGUUGUGAUCUCAGUCUUACGGCUGGAGAGACUGGGUCCCAGGAAGGUGGGGCACGGCCAAGGCUUCCUAAGGAGUCAAGAGCCAGAAAAGGACCAUGGGCUGCUCCCCUAAGCCAGAUACGAGCAACUUCCCCAACCACGAGAACAGGGUGGAAGUGAUGGGGUGUGAUUCCACGGCCAGGGCAUACAAGGCAACGCAGCUUCCACCUCAUGCCUGCGAUUGCUCCCUCUGGGGGAAGCCAGCCUCCAUGCCCAGAGGACACUCAGCAGCCCUGCAGAGAAGGCCACGUGGGCAGGAGCUGAGGUCCCCGCCCCCAGCUACCAGCAGCUUCCCCGGGUGUGUGGGCGAGCCAUCUGAGGGGCGCUCUAUGGAUGCUCUAUGGAUGGAGAGCCCUGUCUGGUCUCCAGGUGACGGCAGCCCGCCCCAGCCAACUUCCGACUGCAACCAUUCGAGAGACCCCAGAUCUAAGGAUCCCUGGUUACCUCCUGAAUUAUUCCCAUCACCCAAAACUGCCGUCUACUGAUCACGUAUUAUUUGAAGCAAGCACAAUCAUUCUGGGAAGUCGUGAACUACCCCUAAGUUACGUCUUUUCUAAACGUUCCUGAAGUUAAGAAGACUUUCAGCUUGGAGACUUUUGCUGUCUCCUCAAUCACGCUUGGUCAGUGGUGGCGUAUUCAGAACAUGCGUUGAAAAUAAAAAGUCACAUCGCAGCUGCCCGCUGAGGGUGGGCCUCGCAGGGCCACCAGCAGUUCACUGCUUCACUUCAGGCCCCGGAUGUAGAGAAAGCGGAGUAAAGCAACGUCAUCAAGGUUAAGAGUGAAAUUCAGCUCUGAUUUUAGAAGUUCCUAGGGAAAAAAAUCUUGUCUCUCCUCCUCCCUUGGCUCUACUUCGCUGGUGUUUUCCUGAACCUGAAAAACGUAUUUACUCUUUACGACGCC